CCAAGGUGGGCAUAGUUUAAACCAAAACAUCAGACCGUGGACCUGAUAAUAGAAACUUAUCCC
RNAcentral lists this transfer RNA (63 nucleotides) under Varanus pilbarensis. Its description in RNAcentral is "partial tRNA-His". Lineage: Eukaryota; Metazoa; Chordata; Lepidosauria; Squamata; Varanidae. The record is from RNAcentral.